UCGAUGAAGAACGCAGCGAAAUGCGAUAAGUAAUGUGAAUUGCAGAAUUCAGUGAAUCAUCGAAUCUUUGAACGCACAUUGCGCCCCUUGGUAUUCCGAGGGGCAUGCCUGUUCGAGCGUCAUUA
RNAcentral lists this ribosomal RNA (125 nucleotides) under Aureobasidium pullulans. RNAcentral describes it as "5.8S ribosomal RNA". It matches the Rfam family "5.8S ribosomal RNA", at positions 33 to 154 of the family's 154-position model. Rfam says of the family: 5.8S ribosomal RNA (5.8S rRNA) is a component of the large subunit of the eukaryotic ribosome. It is transcribed by RNA polymerase I as part of the 45S precursor that also contains 18S and 28S rRNA. The record is from RNAcentral. Lineage: Eukaryota; Fungi; Ascomycota; Dothideomycetes; Dothideales; Saccotheciaceae.